Molecule: long non-coding RNA, 323 nt
Filed under: Sorghum bicolor (sorghum)
Lineage: Eukaryota; Viridiplantae; Streptophyta; Magnoliopsida; Poales; Poaceae
Description: long non-coding RNA (SBIC_LNC004703)
Source: RNAcentral
GAGGAGCUAGAUAGCAAGGCGAGUGGGCCACGUGGCCAGGUUUCAUCCCAGGGAAGAUUCAUCAUUCGCCGUUGGCUUGCGCUUGCAGGUGUGGUGGUCGCGUCCGUCGUGGGUUGGAUUAGAGGGGAGACCAUGUCCAUGUCCAUAUAUGGUUGGACCUAGAGUUAGUGAACCACUCUACCGCGUGUACAGGGCCGAAUUAGCUGCCCCCCUGAGUUGGGCAUUGGGCCCUGGACAUGAACUACGGGCAGAGCCGGCGAGGUGAUUUUUUUGGCAAAGGGCAAACCAAUUUUGUCAAUUUAUUAAGAGCGUAUAUGUGUUUU